RNAcentral lists this ribosomal RNA (272 nucleotides) under uncultured Pseudomonas sp. Its description in RNAcentral is "partial 16S ribosomal RNA". It matches the Rfam family "Bacterial small subunit ribosomal RNA", at positions 1113 to 1382 of the family's 1533-position model. Lineage: Bacteria; Pseudomonadati; Pseudomonadota; Gammaproteobacteria; Pseudomonadales; Pseudomonadaceae. The record is from RNAcentral.
AGUUACCAGCACGUUAUGGUGGGCACUCUAAGGAGGAACUGCCGGUGACAAACCGGAGGAAGGUGGGGAUGACGUCAAGUCAUCAUGGCCCUUACGGCCUGGGCUACACACGUGCUACAAUGGUCGGUACAAAGGGUUGCCAAGCCGCGAGGUGGAGCUAAUCCCAUAAAACCGAUCGUAGUCCGGAUCGCAGUCUGCAACUCGACUGCGUGAAGUCGGAAUCGCUAGUAAUCGUGAAUCAGAAUGUCACGGUGAAUACGUUCCCGGGCCUU